This 201-nucleotide ribosomal RNA is filed under the name uncultured bacterium. Its description in RNAcentral is "partial 16S ribosomal RNA". It matches the Rfam family "Bacterial small subunit ribosomal RNA", at positions 1301 to 1500 of the family's 1533-position model. The record is from RNAcentral.
UAGGCUGAAACUCGCCUACAUGAAGCUGGAGUUACUAGUAAUCGCAGAUCAGAAUGCUGCGGUGAAUGCGUUCCCGGGUCUUGUACACACCGCCCGUCACACCACGGAAGUUGGGGCGCCCGAAGCCACUUAGCUAACCCUUUUGGGAAGCGAGUGUCGAAGGUGAAAUCAAUAACUGGGGUGAAGUCGUAACAAGGUAUC